This 377-nucleotide ribosomal RNA is filed under the name uncultured bacterium. RNAcentral's name for it is "bacterial SSU rRNA". It matches the Rfam family "Bacterial small subunit ribosomal RNA", at positions 523 to 898 of the family's 1533-position model. The record is from RNAcentral.
AUACGUAGGUGGCAAGCGUUGUCCGGAAUCAUUGGGCGUAAAGAGCGCGUAGGUGGCUUGUCAGGUCUGAUGUGAAAACCUGGGGCUCAACUCCAGGCCUGCAUCAGAAACCGGCUUGCUAGAGUCUGGGAGAGGAGAGUGGAAUUCCUGGUGUAGCGGUGAAAUGCGUAGAUAUCAGGAGGAACACCGGUAGCGAAGGCGGCUCUCUGGAACAGUACUGACGCUGAGGCGCGAAAGCUAGGGGAGCGAACAGGAUUAGAUACCCUGGUAGUCCUAGCCGUAAACGAUGGACACUAGGUGUCGGGGGUGUCGACUCCCUCGGUGCCGAAGCUAACGCAUUAAGUGUCCCGCCUGGGGACUACGGCCGCAAGGCUAAA